Molecule: ribosomal RNA, 475 nt
Filed under: uncultured bacterium
Lineage: Bacteria
Description: SSU rRNA
Rfam family: Bacterial small subunit ribosomal RNA
Source: RNAcentral
AGGAUGAACGCUGGCGGCGUGCCUAACACAUGCAAGUCGAACGUCCUGUCUCGCAAGAGGCAGGGAGUGGCGGACGGGUGAGUACCACGUGGGUCAUCUACCGUGAGGUGAGGAAUACCGGCGAGAAAUCGCCGACAAGACCGCAUAGCCUCGGUGCAAGUCGAGCAAAGCUCUUUCGAGAGAGGGAGCGCCACACGAGGAGCCUGCGCCCGAUUAGCUAGCUGGUGGAGUAACGGUUCACCAGGGCGACGAUCGGUAGCUGGUCUGAGAGGACGAUCAGCCACACUGGGAUUGAGAACGGCCCAGACUCCUACGGGGGGCAGCAGUGAGGAAUUUUCGUCAAUGGGGGCAACCCUGAACGAGCAACGCCGCGUGCAGGAAGAAGGUUUUCGGAUCGUAAACUGCUUUUCUCGGGAAGAGAAUGGACGGUACCCGAGGAAUCAGCCCCGGCUAACUACGCGCCAGCAGCCGCGGU